This 69-nucleotide transfer RNA is filed under the name Anilany helenae. RNAcentral's name for it is "tRNA-Lys". It matches the Rfam family "tRNA". From Rfam's summary of the family: Transfer RNA (tRNA) molecules are approximately 80 nucleotides in length. Their secondary structure includes four short double-helical elements and three loops (D, anti-codon, and T loops). Further hydrogen bonds mediate the characteristic L-shaped molecular structure. tRNAs have two regions of fundamental functional importance: the anti-codon, which is responsible for specific mRNA codon recognition, and the 3' end, to which the tRNAs corresponding amino acid is attached (by aminoacyl-tRNA synthetases). tRNAs cope with the degeneracy of the genetic code in two manners: having more than one tRNA (with a specific anti-codon) for a particular amino acid; and 'wobble' base-pairing, i.e. permitting non-standard base-pairing at the 3rd anti-codon position. Lineage: Eukaryota; Metazoa; Chordata; Amphibia; Anura; Microhylidae. The record is from RNAcentral.
CAUUAAGAAGCUAUGAAUCAGCAAUAGCCUUUUAAGCUGUAGAUAGGAAAUUAAAAUCUCCCUUAAUGA